This 541-nucleotide long non-coding RNA is filed under the name Setaria viridis. RNAcentral's name for it is "long non-coding RNA (SVIR_LNC006496)". Lineage: Eukaryota; Viridiplantae; Streptophyta; Magnoliopsida; Poales; Poaceae. The record is from RNAcentral.
CUUGUGGUGCAUAUGUGGGUGUUUGCAAUGAUCUCCUUUUAAGAAUGUAUGUUCCUUGAUGAGGACACCACAAGUACAUCUACACCAGCAGCACCUCAGGCGCCUCCAGUUGCUCCUCCACCUCAGGCGCCUACAGCUGAUCAUCCAGUUGGGCCAAUCACUCGGGCCUGUGCGAGAGAAUUAAACUUCAUCAUGCUGUUAAGGAACGAAGGCCCAGCGGAAUAAGAAGAUGGCCCAAUAGGGCAGCCCAGGUGGGGCGCCUAGGGUUGGGAGCCGCGGCCCUCCCCCUGGUCGCAUGCGCCCCCCUCCUGCCGUGGCGCCUCCUCCGGACUCCAGGGGCUGCGCCCCCUUUAUUUAGUCGGAGUCCCUUUUGUUUAUGACUUGAGUUUUGUUUUACAUCUAGCUUUAGCUACUCUCGAACACGCGCAAAUACGCGCUGUCCUUCUGUGAUUCAGAACUCCACCUUCGAGUGAUAUUUAGAUUGCUCACCUCUUUUUCUUGUUCUUCUUCGAUUGCGGACAGGAAUCGAUCUUCGUGAUCA